CCUACGGGUGGCAGCAGUGAGGAAUAUUGGUCAAUGGGCGCGAGCCUGAACCAGCCAAGUAGCGUGAAGGAUGACUGCCCUACGGGUUGUAAACUUCUUUUAUAAAGGAAUAAAGUGAGGCACGUGUGUCUUUUUGUAUGUACUUUAUGAAUAAGGAUCGGCUAACUCCGUGCCAGCAGCCGCGGUAAUACGGAGGAUCCGAGCGUUAUCCGGAUUUAUUGGGUUUAAAGGGAGCGUAGAUGGGCUGUUAAGUCAGUUGUGAAAGUUUGCGGCUCAACCGUAAAAUUGCAAUUGAUACUGGCAGCCUUGAGUAGAGUUGAGGUAUGCGGAAUGCGUGGUGUAGCGGUGAAAUGCUUAGAUAUCACGAAGAACUCCGAUUGCGAAGGCAGCUUACUAAACUGCCACUGACAUUGAGGCUCGAAAGUGUGGGUAUCAAACAGGAUUAGAUACCCCGGUAGUC
RNAcentral lists this ribosomal RNA (460 nucleotides) under uncultured bacterium. Its description in RNAcentral is "partial 16S ribosomal RNA". It matches the Rfam family "Bacterial small subunit ribosomal RNA", at positions 338 to 795 of the family's 1533-position model. The record is from RNAcentral.